GUAGAAAUAGCUAGAACAUGUUACCGGGACUUCAAAACUGCAUAGAACGUUAAAAAUGGAGCUCGGAAUCAUUCACUAUUGAGCUUCGAAGCUUGGAAAAACCCUAAACAGGGCUGCUCUUGGUACAUUCGGUGGAAUCAAGAAGAAAAGGACACAUUUGGGUUUUAAAAUUUGUCUUUUAAUUCAUUUUACCCCUUAAUG
This 201-nucleotide long non-coding RNA is filed under the name Gossypium barbadense (sea-island cotton). Its description in RNAcentral is "long non-coding RNA (GBAR_LNC012509)". The record is from RNAcentral. Lineage: Eukaryota; Viridiplantae; Streptophyta; Magnoliopsida; Malvales; Malvaceae.